ACCGGGCAAGGUGGCAUGUGCCUGUAGUCCCAGCUACUUGGGAGGCUGAGGUGGGAGGAUUGCUUGAGCCCAGGAGUUCCAGGCUGUAGUGUGCUAUGUCAAUCAGGUGUCCUCACUAAGUUCGGCAUCAAUAUAGUGACCUCCCGGGAGUGGGGGACCACGAGGUUGCCUAAGGAGGGGUGAACCGGCCCAGGUCAGAAACGGAGCAGGUCAAAACUCCUGUGCUGAUCAGUAGUGGGAUCGUGCCUGUGAAUAGCCACUGCACUCCAGCCUGGGCAACAUAGCGAGACCUCAUCUCU
RNAcentral lists this signal recognition particle RNA (299 nucleotides) under Cebus imitator (Panamanian white-faced capuchin). RNAcentral describes it as "Metazoan signal recognition particle RNA (ENSCCAG00000003585.1)". It matches the Rfam family "Metazoan signal recognition particle RNA". Rfam says of the family: The signal recognition particle (SRP) is a universally conserved ribonucleoprotein. The record is from RNAcentral. Lineage: Eukaryota; Metazoa; Chordata; Mammalia; Primates; Cebidae.